UACGUAGGGGGCAAGCGUUGUCCGGAAUUAUUGGGCGUAAAGAGCGCGUAGGCGGUCCGAUAAGUCGGCUGUGAAAGUCAGGGGCUCAACCCUUGAAAGCCGGCCGAUACUGUCGGACUAGAGUCCGGAAGAGGCGAGUGGAAUUCCCGGUGUAGCGGUGAAAUGCGCAGAUAUCAGGAGGAACACCGGUGGCGAAGGCGGUGGUCUGGGCCGGAACUGACGCUGAGGAGCGAAAGCGUGGGGAGCGAACAGG
Molecule: ribosomal RNA, 253 nt
Filed under: uncultured bacterium
Lineage: Bacteria
Description: partial 16S ribosomal RNA
Rfam family: Bacterial small subunit ribosomal RNA
Source: RNAcentral